Molecule: ribosomal RNA, 581 nt
Filed under: uncultured bacterium
Lineage: Bacteria
Description: bacterial SSU rRNA
Rfam family: Bacterial small subunit ribosomal RNA
Source: RNAcentral
AGAUGGGAUUAGCUAGUAGGUGGGGUAACGGCUCACCUAGGCGACGAUCCCUAGCUGGUCUGAGAGGAUGACCAGCCACACUGGAACUGAGACACGGUCCAGACUCCUACGGGAGGCAGCAGUGGGGAAUAUUGCGCAAUGGGCGAAAGCCUGACGCAGCGACGCCGCGUGCGGGAAGAAGGCCUUCGGGUUGUAAACCGCUUUCAGGAGGGACGAAGCCACUCAGGUUAAUAGCCGAGAGGGUGACGGUACCUCCAGAAGAAGCCCCGGCUAACUACGUGCCAGCAGCCGCGGUAAUACGUAGGGGGCUAGCGUUGUCCGGAUUUAUUGGGCGUAAAGAGCGUGUAGGCGGCCAUGUAGGUCCGGUGUGAAAACUCGAGGCUUAACCUCGAGAUGUCAUCGGAAACCAUUUGGCUAGAGUCCGGAAGAGGAGAGUGGAAUUCCUGGUGUAGCGGUGAAAUGCGCAGAUAUCAGGAAGAACACCAAUGGCGAAGGCAGCUCUCUGGGACGGUACUGACGCUGAGACGCGAAAGCGUGGGGAGCAAACAGGAUUAGAUACCCUGGUAGUCCACGCCGUAAAC